This 550-nucleotide ribosomal RNA is filed under the name Methanosarcina sp. enrichment culture clone H01. Its description in RNAcentral is "bacterial SSU rRNA". It matches the Rfam family "Archaeal small subunit ribosomal RNA", at positions 108 to 656 of the family's 1478-position model. Lineage: Archaea; Methanobacteriati; Methanobacteriota; Methanomicrobia; Methanosarcinales; Methanosarcinaceae. The record is from RNAcentral.
CCUGCCCUUGGGUCCGGCAUAACCCCGGGAAACUGGGGAUAAUUCCGGAUAACGCACAUAUGCUGGAAUGCUUUAUGCGUCAAAUGGAUUCGUCUGCCCAAGGAUGGGUCUGCGGCCUAUCAGGUAGUAGUGGGUGUAAUGUACCUACUAGCCGACGACGGGUACGGGUUGUGAGAGCAAGAGCCCGGAGAUGGAUUCUGAGACAUGAAUCCAGGCCCUACGGGGCGCAGCAGGCGCGAAAACUUUACAAUGCGGGAAACCGUGAUAAGGGGACACCGAGUGCCAGCAUCAUAUGCUGGCUGUCCGGGUGUGUAAAAUACACCUGUUAGCAAGGGCCGGGCAAGACCGGUGCCAGCCGCCGCGGUAACACCGGCGGCCCGAGUGGUGAUCGUGAUUAUUGGGUCUAAAGGGUCCGUAGCCGGUUUGGUCAGUCCUCCGGGAAAUCUGACGGCUUAACCGUUAGGCUUUCGGAGGAUACUGCCAGGCUUGGAACCGGGAGAGGUAAGAGGUACUACAGGGGUAGGAGUGAAAUCUUGUAAUCCCUGUGGGA